Molecule: long non-coding RNA, 4766 nt
Organism: Physeter macrocephalus (sperm whale)
Lineage: Eukaryota; Metazoa; Chordata; Mammalia; Artiodactyla; Physeteridae
Exons: 3
Source: RefSeq, a predicted model, not a curated record
AGGGAACCCACGUUUUCAUUUUGCACUGGGCCCCGCAAAUUAUGCAGCGUAUCCUGUUUGUCAGCUUCGUUCCGUUAGUAAUUUCUUGUGAUUUAUUUUCACAUCCUACAGAAAUGUUCGUUUUCUACCUAAUUUUGCACACUCUUUGUCAAAGAGAGUCCCCAGAAUGGUAAAAUCUUCAGAUCCCCGCAUAAGCCGCACCCUCCGCGACACCCCAAUAUCCCCCUUAUCUUGAGUGAUUCAAUCACAUUAAUUUUCCCCCCCCUCAUACUUUUUCAUACAGUAAGCCUAUAGAGCUCUUAAGAUCAGUGGGAGGGGGAAAAAAAUCCCCCCCAAGAGAGUGUCAUUUCAAAAACUAAACGAAAUCGCUGUCACCCGAGGGGAAGCCGGAAACCCGGCAGGGGGCAAGUUCGCAAGCAUUCGGGGUCCUGCGUAGGGGUCCCCGGAGCCUGCCCUCCCUCCCGGCCUGCUCCCGGAGCGUCCCCUUUAAGGGGCGGGGCAGGGGCGGGGCCUGGCGGCCACCCGCUCUCCCAAGCUGCCCCGCGCGCGCGCCGGCAGUUCGGCCACGUCCCUGGCCACGUCGCGCCCGCUCUCGCCAUCUUCGCAGCUUCCUGUCUGUGGCCGCCGCCGCCGCUGCCUAAGCCGCGGAGCCUGGGGCCGCCGCGCAGACCGCCGCCGCCAUGAACAUCUUCCGGUUGACCGGGGACCUGUCCCACCUGGCGGCCAUCGUCAUCCUGCUGCUGAAGAUCUGGAAGACGCGCUCCUGCGCCGGAACACCACAUCUUUGGCUGCUGUCUUCAGGCCUCACCUGUCUCCCUGGAACAUAGCUGAAAUCCAGGAAGUAAGCAAAACCAAAAAAGACCUUUGAACAAUCAAAGUGGAUGUUACAAAGUCCAUGUACUGAAGCUGGUGUGUUUGGCUUGGAGGUGAUCUCUCAAUUUAUGUAUAGCUCUGAGAGGUUCAGUUGUAUGAUUUCCAAUGACAGCGAAGUAAUUUCAGCGAUUGUGAUAGCUGACAUUUAAGCGCGUGCUGUGUAUUAGGUAGUGAGCUAAGUACCUUAUAUGGCUUAUCCCAUGCAGUCCUUGAAAUAACCUUAUGAGGUGAGUGCAGUUGCCCCCAUUCCGUGGACCAGGGAACUGAGGCUCAGGGAGGUGAGAAAAUUAGUGCCAGGGUUGGAACACAGGUGAUCAGUAACUCACAAUUCAGGAUUUGAAUAAAUAUCUAUUUGGCCUGAAUAAUUUUGUUUUAAAUUAUUCAAAAUUAUUCAGGUGAGUAGUUUAGGUCAUUUUCUGUUGCACUCAGGAAAUGUUAUUUUCUAUCCCUGCUUUAUUGAGCUGUAAUUGACAUAUAACAUUAUAUUAGUUUUAGGUGUACAACGUAAAAAUUUGAUACGUGUAUUGUGAAAUGAUUACCACGCUGCAGCUGGGGCUUCCCUGGUGGCGCGGUGGUUAAGAAUCCGCCUGCCAGUGCAGGGGACACGGGUUCCAGCCCUGGUCGGGGAAGAUCCCACAUGCCGCGGAGCAACUAAGCCUGUGCACCACAACUAUUGAGCCUGUGCUCUAGAGCCUGCGUGCCACAACUACUGAGCCCGCUUGCCAUAACUACUGAAGCCCACGCACCUAGAGCCUCUGCUCCACAACAAGAGAAGCCACUGCAGUGAGAAGCCUGCGCACCGCAACGAAGAGUAGCCCCCGCUUGCUGCAACUAGAGAAAGCCCGUGUACAGCAAUGAAGACCCAACACAGCCAUAAAUAAAUAAACAAAUAAACAAACAAAUAAAUAAAAACAAACAUAGCUGCAGCUAUAGAACCACGGGGCUUUUUCUCCUUAGGGUAAGGGAUGAGACAGGUGAGUGAGGAAGAUUCUGUUUUCUUGAACGACUGCCUUAAAGGACCUAUUUUAAAGUGAGGGCGGGAGAGUUGAUCUUGGUUUAGUUUGAACUGGCAUUCUCCGGUGUCUGCCGUUGUCAUGACAGAGGGGUACCCAAAUUAAGUGUGAGUUCCUCAUCUUCCUGAACUGUGACUGCAGCAGGAUCCACAGUAUGCUCAAGUUGUCACUUUACUGUCUUCAGCACUGACCUGGGUAGUGUUGGAAGAGCAAGCCUUGGUUUGUAGGUGAAGGAUUUCCUGUCUACAUUUUCCUGUAGGCUGAUAGUUAUUAUUAGUACUGUAUCUAUUGUGCUUAAAGUACUAGUGGAGUUCUUCUGAGCUCCUAGGCUCCCAGCCAUCCUCCUUUAGUCCUCCCCUUCCCUCCUCCACCUAUUGCUUAGAUUGUUGUCGUGUAAGUUGCAGACUUUUCAUUCUCCUGAAGAUGACAGCAAUGUACAGUGUACCUGCAUUUCUUGUAAUUGGACAGUUUAUAUAUACAUAUAUAUGUGUGUGUGUGUAUGUAUAUAUAUAUUUGCCUUUAUAUUUUGAAUUUAUUAGGAGAUAGUUUUUUUGCAAUGAAUGUAUCUAAUUUACAAAAAGCAGCCAUUUUCUUGACUCUUAAAUGUGUUGAAGUUUUAGGUUUUAAUAUGUUUCGUCUUAAAUUGUCUGAAGUAGUACGCAGUGUCUGGUAUUUUGAUUGAUUGGUUGAUUUUUGUAGUUGCUUUUCCAGAUGUGGGGAGUUUUUUCCCUCUUUUUUUUUUUUUUUUUGUUUAUUGAAGUGUGGUUGGUUUACGGUGUUAAGUUAGUUUCAGGUGUACAGCAAAGUGAUUCAUAUAUAUGUGUGUGUCUGUAUGUCUAUAUAUAUAUUCUUUUUAAGAAUCUUUUCCCUUAUAGAUUAUUACAAGAUAUUGAAACAGAAUGUCCUUGUUGUGCUAAACAGUAUGUCCUUGUUGUGACAGUUUAUAUUUUUGAAGUACAUGGAAAAGACCUCCUCUUUUAUUGUCACUGAGCACUUCAGGAGGCUUUUGCCUCACAUUCCCAGCUCCCUCUUGGUAGCAGCUGUCACCUUUGUUCUUUUGCGUGCCAGUCUCAUGAGUAAUCGUUGCUCUCACUUCCUGACCACCCACCAUGUGCAAAGGCACUGGGGACGCAGUCCAGAGCAGCAGCUUGUUGCUGUCAAAGUUUCUGCUCUCAAGAAAGCUGCAAUUUAGUUGAAAUCAUAAGACAUAUAUAAAAAGAUAAAAACACAGGGUAUCAAACCAUAUAGCCAGUAAAUCCUAUGGAUGUGAAGUGGCAAGAAAGGCCCUAGGGAAGGCUCCCUUAAUUUUCCAACAAGGAGGGUAUAAGCCCUGUAUGAGGAAAAGUAUGAAGCUUUGCUAAUGGACAUAGAAGGUGACCUUGAAUGUAUGUUCAUACCAGUGUCCUGGAUAGGACCAGGCAGGCUGGUGAGGAAGCAAGAUGAUUUGUCUCCCCAAAUUAACUUACUAAUUCAGAAUAUCAUCAAAGUUAAAAGAUAAUAAGCCAAGAGAAAUAAUCUGCAAUAUAUCUAAGUGACAGAAGGUUAAUAUCCAUAAUAAAAUACUCCUACAAAUUAAAAAAACCAACCUGAUAGAUAAAUGGGCAAUGUUGGCAGUUCACAGAGGAAUAACAGAAGGCCAGUUAAACAUGAAAGAAUGCCUUGCCUCACUAGAAGUUAGGAAUUUAGAUAUUAAAAUAGCAGCGCAUGCCAUCAUUUGCUGCUGGGUGGGAAAAAGUCAGGUUUACAAGAUCUGAUGUAGGCAGGGGUGUGAAGUAAGGCAUAUUCUCAUCUGGUGUUAAGGAAUAUGUAAAUUGGCACAGCCUAUGUAGAGGAAAUUUGACAGUGUUUCAAAACAAAGUGUUUAUUUUAUCCCAGCAUUUCUAGGGAAUUUGAACUACAGAAAUUGUCAUAUAUGUGAACAAACUAUAUAUAGGUAUAAAGAUGUUUGUUGUACAUAAAUAAAUACAAAACACUGUUUAUAGAUACAAAGAUGUUCAUGCAGUGUUUAUAAGAACAAAAAUUGUACACACCCAAAUGUCUAUUAGUGGAAGGGUCACACAAAUGUCGGUACCUGCACACUGUGGAGCACUAUGCAGCCAUGAAAAAGAAUGAGCUAGAAGUAUUAACAGGAGAAGGUAUAUCUGAAACACUGCGUUAACAGAGCACAUUGUAAAGCAAGAGAUUGUAUGGCCCCAUUUUAAGGGGCAAACGUGGGUACACAUAUAAAUACACAUAUAGAAAGCAGCUUUAACAAAAAGCCUGGAACGUUGCACUUAAAAUGGAGGUGGGAGGGGUGUUAAAAAGGUCCUUUUGAUUUUUAUUCCAUGUAUGUUAGUCCAGUUGGUAUUUUUAAUAAAAUGGCAUGGAUUUCUCUGAAAACAAGAAAAGAUGGCAAAGUGAUACAUAGUAAUAGCUGUCAUUUAUUGAGCAUUUUCAGCAUGGCAGGUAUAGUCAAAACCACUUUUUCCAGUAGUCCCACAAUUUGGCAUAAUUUGUCCCCAUUUGACAGAUGCAGAAAGUGAGGUUUAGGGGGGCCAAGAAUGUAAUGGGCCCUGACUUACCUGGUGCAUUCAAGGGCUGAGCUUGAACCCAGACCUUCUGGCUCCAAAGCCUCUCUUUCCCCAAGUCCCAAGAGCUGUGUUAUGAGUCAGGUGCUGACUGUUGGGCUGCUGGUUCCAGGGUAAGUUAAUGGCCUUUAGGAGAGCAUCUGGAUCCUUUGAGACAAUGGGUCAGAGCAUGGUGCCUGGGACCCUUGUUGAAUGCUGCCAUGCAGAUUAUCCUGGUAGUCUGACCUACAGUGCUUGGUUGCAUCCCAGCUGUUGCCAGGACAAAAAUAAUUCAUUGAACGCUUUUCUGUUUGGUUGAGGGCUUUGUUCUAUA